This is a long non-coding RNA of Junco hyemalis (dark-eyed junco), 1549 nucleotides long. The record is from Ensembl. Lineage: Eukaryota; Metazoa; Chordata; Aves; Passeriformes; Passerellidae.
CCAGGAUGUUGCAGUGGGUGAGAAGCACUGGACAAACAAGGUUUGCCACAACUAUUUGCCUUAUUGGAACCCACUAAGUCUGGGAAAAACUGAUCCUGUGGUGUCAUAUAUGUUACUGUGGUAUGUCUGGAAAAGCAAGAAGGGAUUUGGGAAAGAGAGCCAGGCUGCUGUUCAUAGCAAGGAAUAAGGCAUUUUGGAAAAGAAUGCAAGGGGUUUAGGUUGUGGUAAGGGUGAUUCUAAUUGGACAUUUAGGAAAGCAUUCCAGUUACAGAAAUACAGAUGAGCAGUAGAAUGGGCUGCCUGAGGAUGUAAUUAAAAUAUAAUUGAUCUUACUUUUAAGCAGAAGUCUGAGUUAGCUGCCUCAUUAGGUGUGGUUAGAAUACAAGACUUGGGGAUGCAUCACCAGCUGUGCCUGAGCCCUGGUGCUGCCAAAAUGCCACCUAGCUGGGGCAGGGAAAUGGGGAUCUCCAUCAGCAUCCCUGCUUGACAUGGGCACAGAUGGACACUGUUGCACUCUGGAGUGAAAAUACCGUGCAUGAUUCUUCCUUUUCACUAUUGCUUCCUGUAAACCUUUAGCACUAAAGGGCAGAACCAAAAUUAAUUUUCAAGGCUUUGAAAAUAGAAUUGACUAGAAGGAAAGCAAUAAAAAUUUCAUUGUUCCAAACAAUGAAAGUGUAGGAUAAUUUAUAACAAACCUAAUGAUCCUUAGCUAAAUAUUCAUCAAGAUAAUUAGCUUAAUUUCAGAGUGACCUGAGUCUGGAUCUCCAGUUCUGAUUUUGGAGUGAUAUUAAAGUCCUGAGGUGAAAAUGAAAUACUUGCACAUAAAGUUCUCUCACACAUCGAUGCCCUUCAACAUCUUGGCAAAUCAGACCAAAUAGAUAUGUGACACCUUUACUAACAGACACAGGAACCAGCCAUCAUUUUUGGUGUGGGCGGCCACAGCUCCUCUGGGUCAUGGAUCUGCUGCAGAGCUCACAUAAGCCUCAUAAGCCUUCUCAGUUGCAGUGGCAGGGAAAGAAUUUUUUUUGAAAUGCUGAUUUUUCUGGCUUGGUAAAUUAAAGCCAUUCAUCUGUUACAGCUGUCUAUAUCAUAAAUCAAAAGCACUAUUUAUAUGUAUUAACCUGGGGACCUUAGCAGCCAGGGGAGAGAGCUUUGUAGAGAUGGCAUUUGUGCCUUUAGAAGCCCUCCCUGCCUCCCUCCCAUUGAAACAGACAAUGUUUAGCACAGGUUAACAAGAUUUCAGUUUUUCCUGAUGCAAAGAGCUUUGCUGUGGGUGGGGAGCUUUGCAGAAGUUACCUCAUGGUGAAUUCCUGAAGAGAGGAAAAUUGUUUCUUUCUGUUGCAAGAAUUAAAUUGCUGGGGACAGCUUUUGUUUCCUCUUAUUUUGUUGCUGCUGAGGAGUUUGCUGCAACUGCAACCACUGAAUAGAUCUUACUGCUCUGUCCUUCAGAGCAGGCAGCUUCUGAUUUGUCAGUGUUUACAAAUGAGUGAAUGAGAGUUUACAAAUAGUUUUGAAAAUGAUGCCUUGUAACAAACAAAAUAAAAACCAG